Molecule: transfer RNA, 87 nt
Filed under: Gammaproteobacteria bacterium
Lineage: Bacteria; Pseudomonadati; Pseudomonadota; Gammaproteobacteria
Also listed under: 1 other name
Description: tRNA-Leu
Rfam family: tRNA
About the family: Transfer RNA (tRNA) molecules are approximately 80 nucleotides in length. Their secondary structure includes four short double-helical elements and three loops (D, anti-codon, and T loops). Further hydrogen bonds mediate the characteristic L-shaped molecular structure. tRNAs have two regions of fundamental functional importance: the anti-codon, which is responsible for specific mRNA codon recognition, and the 3' end, to which the tRNAs corresponding amino acid is attached (by aminoacyl-tRNA synthetases). tRNAs cope with the degeneracy of the genetic code in two manners: having more than one tRNA (with a specific anti-codon) for a particular amino acid; and 'wobble' base-pairing, i.e. permitting non-standard base-pairing at the 3rd anti-codon position.
Source: RNAcentral
GCCGGGGUGGCGGAACUGGUAGACGCAGUGGACUCAAAAUCCACCGGUAGCAAUACCGUGCGAGUUCGACUCUCGCCCUCGGCACCA